Non-coding RNA from Xyrichtys novacula (pearly razorfish), 685 nucleotides. Lineage: Eukaryota; Metazoa; Chordata; Actinopteri; Labriformes; Labridae. The record is from the annotation of a GenBank genome assembly.
GGUUAUGGUUAGGGUUAGGGUUGGAGCUAGGGUUAGGGUUAGGGUUAGGGUUGGAGUUAGGGUUAGUGUUGGAGCUAGGGUUAGGGUUGGGCUUGGAGCUAGGAUUUUUCUGAGUGCAAUGAACCAACUCCCGAGUCUCUUGGAUGUUCCUAAAAAAAUUUGAUUUUUUCCCAUAGGAAUGCAUGGGUUAGGGUUAGGGUUAGGGUUGGAGCUAGGGUUAGGGUUAGGGUUAGGGUUGGAGUUAGGGUUAGUGUUGGAGCUAGGGUUAGGGUUGGGCUUGGAGCUAGGAUUUUUCUGAGUGCAAUGAACCAACUCCCGAGUCUCUAGGACAUUCUUAAAAAAAUUUGAUUUUUUCCCAUAGGAAUGCAUAGGUUAGGGUUAGGGUUAGGGUUGGAGCUAGGGUUAGGGUUAGGGUUAGGGUUGGAGUUAGGGUUAGUGUUGGAGCUAGGGUUAGGGUUGGGCUUGGAGCUAGGAUUUUUCUGAGUGCACUGAACCAACUCCCGAGUCUCUAGGACAUUCCUAAAAAAAUUUGAUUUUUUCCCAUAGGAAUGCAUGGGUUAGGGUUAUGGUUAGGGUUGGAGCUAGGGUUAGGGUUAGGGUUAGGGUUGGAGUUAGGGUUAGUGUUGGAGCUAGGGUUAGGGUUGGGCUUGGAGCUAGGAUUUUUCUGAGUGCACUGAACCAACUC